This 282-nucleotide long non-coding RNA is filed under the name Homo sapiens (human). RNAcentral's name for it is "HSALNT0098331". The record is from RNAcentral. Lineage: Eukaryota; Metazoa; Chordata; Mammalia; Primates; Hominidae.
CAUUAAUGUAGGCAGAUUAUCAAUGUUAUGCAUUUCACUGAUUGCAUAUCUCUUUUUUUAUCAAUGGUGAACAUUGCAAAUGAUUGAUACGUUUUUCUUAGGAAGUGGCAUUGCCACAAAUGGUUUUUCCAACACCAGCAGGGCCUGAGAGUGUCAUCACCAUACACUCUUGCCGGCAAUAAGAGAUUUCACCUUUUAAUGAUAUGAGAGGGAAAAGUUGGGUGUUGGGUUCUCCAGUGCAUUUCUUUCAUUAUGAGUGACAUUUUUCUGAAAGGAACGUGA